GGUAAUUUCCCCUUUUAGCUCUCACUGUGUCAUUAUAAUUAGCAAAACCCAAGGGUUCAAAUCUGAGCUAACAAAGGGCAGUGGCAUGAUAGUUUGUAUGUUGUUACUGCUGCUUAUUACAUCUAUCAUUAUCAUCUCUCUGCGACCUUGGACUUACCCUGCUGGUUUAUCAUCUUUUCUCCCUGUCUCAUAGGCCUGCUGUAAGCUCUUUGGGGCAGAUCUGAUGGUUUAAUGAUUCAGCCCUACAACAACAAGAGUUUAUUCAGCACUGAGGCCCAUAGGAACCACAAACAAUCCAGCUUUUGGAAAGUGUGCUGACAGAUGCACUGUUUGAUGGCAGGUCUUUUGGAAAUGCUUCUUUGUCAAACAUGUCUUCUCCUGGAAGAUUGACUCCUGUAGGACUAAAAAAGGGCCAAGCCAUGAGUGCUGACAUGCAGCAGGACUGGAUCUGCUCAGCCUCCAAAUGUGGGCUGCUGUAGUGAGGGCAGAGGGAUAGGCCAGUCGAGCUCGUGUAAGGACCACUGUAAGAAGAGGAGGCUUGGCUGUAUGAUCAGAUUUAUCAGCAGAACAUUGCCCUCCAGGACAGACUGGCAAGUUGGAAGAUUUGGAUUUUGUCAUCCUCUGUUGCAAUCUGGUACUCUAUACCCAGCAGAGAUGGAGACCUCAUGCAUAGGCCUCAGUUGAGUCUUCUGAAAGUAAAGCUGUCACUUAGUGCUGCCACUGGCGCUUCCAGCAGAAGACCAAGCAUAAAUGAGUGUAAGAAGUGAUCUAACCCAUCUCCUUCCCUGUGAAGGCGGGACUUGCAGCAGCUGUGACAGGUACCCUCCCUGCCAAAUCUGACUGGAUGCAAAAGGCAACGCUUACCUCUCCUUGGACUGUACGUCUGGGACCUCUCAGAACCACUUAUUUAAAGAAAGAAAAAAGUCUAGUGAUGAUUCAGAGGCAGGAGCACGGCUAAGGCUCAAUACCCAGCAUUUGAGAGUCAGAGCAGUGUUAAUAGUCACUCUGAAACGUAAAAUUAUUCCCAAGGAUUUGAGGAGCUGCGUGCAUGCAUCUCUUACAGAACAUUCAGAGGGCGCACGUCUUGGUGACGAAUUAGUCAUCAAAUCCAAUGGUACAGCACUGGACCAGAAGAACAAAAACUGCUGAUGGCUAAAGAUCCGGCUUUAAAAAAGCAAAAAGAAUCAACACAGCCCCAUCAAACAACAACAACAAUUAAACCAACAAAGGAAAAACAAAGGAAAUUCCAUUUUUGAACCAUAUGAAGAAAUAGAACCAGAAUGAAGAAAAAGGAGCUGAUUUUGAGGCUGCAGAAAUGAAUAAAUAGUGCUCUACUGGGCUCUUUUUCCUUCUC
This 1354-nucleotide long non-coding RNA is filed under the name Coturnix japonica (Japanese quail). RNAcentral's name for it is "lncRNA (ENSCJPG00005009825.1)". The record is from RNAcentral. Lineage: Eukaryota; Metazoa; Chordata; Aves; Galliformes; Phasianidae.